AGUCCUAUAGUAUAAAGGUUAGUACGCCGGAUUGUCGCUCCGAAGGUACGGGUUCGAUUCCCGUUAGGAUUGUCA
Molecule: transfer RNA, 75 nt
Filed under: Sarcina sp. DSM 11001
Lineage: Bacteria; Bacillati; Bacillota; Clostridia; Eubacteriales; Clostridiaceae
Description: tRNA_Asp_GTC
Rfam family: tRNA
About the family: Transfer RNA (tRNA) molecules are approximately 80 nucleotides in length. Their secondary structure includes four short double-helical elements and three loops (D, anti-codon, and T loops).
Source: RNAcentral